This 64-nucleotide transfer RNA is filed under the name Cassida denticollis. RNAcentral describes it as "tRNA-Arg". Lineage: Eukaryota; Metazoa; Arthropoda; Insecta; Coleoptera; Chrysomelidae. The record is from RNAcentral.
AGAUAUGUACUUUAAAGUAAAAAAAAUUUGGCGGUAUUUUAGUCUGCUCAGAGGAACCUGUCCU